GGUUGGGCCCUGCGCGGCCGGCGCCUGUGGAACUCCGCCAGGCCCGGAAGGGAGCAACGGUACGCGGUUCCGCCGGGGUGCCGCAGUUCGCCUAACCGGA
Molecule: signal recognition particle RNA, 100 nt
Filed under: Chloroflexota bacterium
Lineage: Bacteria; Bacillati; Chloroflexota
Description: Chloroflexi bacterium signal recognition particle sRNA small type
Rfam family: Bacterial small signal recognition particle RNA
About the family: The signal recognition particle (SRP) is a universally conserved ribonucleoprotein involved in the co-translational targeting of proteins to membranes.
Source: RNAcentral